GGCUCCGUAGCUUGGAGGAAGGAAGCGCCCGUCUAGCGGAUUGGGAGUCGUGGGUUCGAUUCCCACCGGAGCAC
This is a non-coding RNA of Aedes albopictus (Asian tiger mosquito), 74 nucleotides long. Lineage: Eukaryota; Metazoa; Arthropoda; Insecta; Diptera; Culicidae. The record is from Rfam.